GACGAACGCUGGCGGCGUGCUUAACACAUGCAAGUCGAACGGAAAGGCCCUGCUUUUGUGGGGUGCUCGAGUGGCGAACGGGUGAGUAACACGUGAGUAACCUGCCCUUGACUUUGGGAUAACUUCAGGAAACUGGGGCUAAUACCGGAUAGGAGCUCCUGCUGCAUGGUGGGGGUUGGAAAGUUUCGGCGGGUGGGGAUGGACUCGCGGCUUAUCAGCUUGUUGGUGGGGUAGUGGCUUACCAAGGCUUUGACGGGUAGCCGGCCUGAGAGGGUGACCGGCCACAAUGGGACUGAGAUACGGACCAGACUCCUACGGGAGGCAGCAGUGGGGAAUAUUGCACAAUGGGCGGAAGCCUGAUGCAGCAACGCCGCGUGCGGGAUGACGGCCUUCGGGUUGUAAACCGCUUUCGCCUGUGACGAAGCGUGAGUGACGGUAAUGGGUAAAGAAGCACCGGCUAACUACGUG
This 468-nucleotide ribosomal RNA is filed under the name uncultured bacterium. Its description in RNAcentral is "partial 16S ribosomal RNA". It matches the Rfam family "Bacterial small subunit ribosomal RNA", at positions 28 to 507 of the family's 1533-position model. The record is from RNAcentral.